CUCAUUUUGGCUGGAAUAAGUAUUUUGUUCUCUCCCUUUGGUGUGCCUUGCCUGGCCUUUUCAGGUUGCUGCUUAUGGAUCUGCAUGGACACCGGCAUUUAGCAAUCACAUUCGUACACGUGAGCUCACGGAGUGUAAAGGGAGGAAGCUGGAGAGUCUAGUACCACGAACAGGUUCAUUUUCUACAGACAAGCAAGUGCACACGGGCACUCCUCCAUGUUUCCCAGAUAGGAGAGCGGCAGGCUGUUCAACAGGCCUUUGCUGACAUCUUUGUGUGUCGAUGCCUUAGUGAGCCAGAGGAUCGCACCGACAUCAAGAAGCAAAAGAGCAACAGACCCCAGCUGAGAGUUAGGUGGCCCCAGUAUGAGGCCUAAGGUCCCACGAGCUUGGGGGUUUAGUGGUUCCCGCUGUGACUGUUCAACCCAUGCCAACCUCCCUCGACCCACAGCUGUCGUGACAGCUCCACCCACUCCUCCUUGGGUGUGACUUUCCUGUGGCUUCCAGCAGGGCAGAGCAUCCUAAGCAACUGUUUGACGCC
Peromyscus maniculatus bairdii (prairie deer mouse) is the source of this 538-nucleotide non-coding RNA. The record is from RefSeq and is a predicted model, not a curated record. NCBI's taxonomy places the organism in Eukaryota, Metazoa, Chordata, Mammalia, Rodentia, Cricetidae.